Molecule: transfer RNA, 73 nt
Filed under: Nelumbo nucifera (sacred lotus)
Lineage: Eukaryota; Viridiplantae; Streptophyta; Magnoliopsida; Proteales; Nelumbonaceae
Rfam family: tRNA
About the family: Transfer RNA (tRNA) molecules are approximately 80 nucleotides in length. Their secondary structure includes four short double-helical elements and three loops (D, anti-codon, and T loops).
Source: Rfam by way of RNAcentral
GGGGGUGUAGCUCAUAUGGUAGAGCGCUCGCUUCGCAUGCAAGAGGUACGGGGUUCAAUUCCCUGCACCUCCA